GGAAACAAGAUGCUAAUACCGGAUAACAACAGAUGAUGCCUAUCAACUGUUUAAAAGAUGGUUCUGCUAUCACUCUUGGAUGGACCUGCGGUGCAUUAGCUAGUUGGUAGGGUAACGGCCUACCAAGGCGAUGAUGCAUAGCCGAGUUGAGAGACUGAUCGGCCACAUUGGGACUGAGACACGGGCCCAAACUCCUACGGGAGGCAGCAGGU
Molecule: ribosomal RNA, 212 nt
Filed under: uncultured Lactobacillus sp.
Lineage: Bacteria; Bacillati; Bacillota; Bacilli; Lactobacillales; Lactobacillaceae
Description: partial 16S ribosomal RNA
Rfam family: Bacterial small subunit ribosomal RNA
Source: RNAcentral